GAGGGCGCUGUUGGCAGCCUGCGCUCCGAUCGACAGUGCCACCACGGGAAGCCGGUCACAUUUCUGGCAUCACGUCCUCCUCCUGGUGGGAUCUCUCAGCUUCACAACUGCAAACAAAUGCCCCAUGAUUUCAUAAAUUCCUAAUAGUGUUUGGGCCAGAUACAGUUAUCAGUUUAUAUGCAAUUUGGUGAUUUUACAUUACUUACUCUUGAAGGGGUGCCUGGGUGGCUCAGUCGGUUGAGUGUCCAACUGUGAUUUCGGCUCAGGUCAUGAUCUCAGGGUUCUGAGAUGGAGCCCAGUGUCAGGCUCUGUGCUCAGCGGGGAGUCCGCUUGAAAUCCUCCCACUCCAUCUCCCUCUGCCCCCCGCCCCCCAUGAGCUUUCUCAUGCUCUAUCUCAAACACAUAAAUAAAUCUUUUGAAAAAAAUGCUUACCCUUGAAGGCAAAAAUCGCCGUUCAGGUCUAUGUUAGGAUGACUCAGGACCCCUGGCUUUCCCCCUGGGAAGACCCUCACUCACCAGCAGCAGCCACCUCGGUUAUCCUUCCCUUGCUCCUCUCCCACAGUUGAGUUCGUGAGCACUUCACAAGCUUAACAUUGUCACAAAUGUCAGAGUUUGUAAGCCUUUCUCAAGCUUAACAUUCUCACAAAACCAAAUAUAAGUGUUCUCGGCCGAUGCAUAUCCCAUUCCAGAAAGGCCCGUGAGAGGCACCAAAUCAUCAGCUCCCCAGCGGCCCCUGCUGUUUCCCUGUAGCAGCAAGUCAUCUGCGCAUGUGCGUAGUCACGUGGUCCCGUCACUGCCAGUGGACUCCGGGACAGGAGGCUGUGUCAAGGCAGACUUCGUGACGGCCAAGGCAGAGCUUCCUGCUUCCCAAAGCCAAGCAACCGUUGUUCCGGAGGAAAAAGAACCCUCCUCAAGUAGCCAACAAGCAGCACUCUCUCCAUCUCUAGCCUCUAAGACCCGCUAAUGCUUGGAUUUGACUCAGCCUGAGUAAGUAGCUUUUUCAUACUAAUUUUUUAAAACCCUGUUGUGGCAAAGGAUUAAAUAAGCAAUUGUCUAGCUUUAAAUGCCUCAUGGGGGACUAAAAUAACACCUUUCCUGACAGUCUAGUUUUCAAACCCACUUCAUUUAAGGUAACAAAAUCUCUUUUCUACAAGGUUUUGACUGUGUGGAAUACAAGUGUUGUAGCCC
This 1188-nucleotide long non-coding RNA is filed under the name Ailuropoda melanoleuca (giant panda). RNAcentral describes it as "lncRNA (ENSAMEG00000029829.1)". The record is from RNAcentral. Lineage: Eukaryota; Metazoa; Chordata; Mammalia; Carnivora; Ursidae.